UUUUUAAAUGAAUAUGUUAAAGUGAGAGAAGUAUCUGUGUAGUACGAAUGUUUAUGAAAUUUAAUGCAUUAAAAUAAUUUUAAAAUCAUAUGAAAAUAAAAACAAUGCACUUUCUCAAAUAUUUAAAAUUUUCAUUUGGAUUCACAUUUUUAUGUCUGAUAUAUACUUUUUAACUUUAAAAAUGUGAAACUAGAAAUGGGGUAGAAAUUGAAUAUUAUGAGUCAUUAAAUAUGAAAAUAAUCCAUCGUUAAAUACCGCUUAGUAUUAAUGAGGGUUCAAUUUCUGAAAAUGUGACAAGAAUACACUGAAUAUCUAAAAAUUCCUGUUCAUUGUUUAUGGCUUUGAAUGGUUUAAACAAUUGCUGGAAAAAUUUACUCCCUUACUAAAAGUUAAUGUAUAUCUUGUUUUCUUUUCAUAAUCUGUACUUUUAUUUUGUGUAAAUGCUCAAUUGCUGUUUGUUUAUUUUCUCAUCAGAUUAUUUAUUAAAUGUAUAUUUUUAUUUGUUAUAUAUAAAUGAACAUUUAUAAAAAUGCAAAACCAGAAAUUGGAAAUUAAAUUAUUAUUUGUAUUAUUUGAGUAUCGCAAUUAUUUACCGAUUAUCUAACAUGAGACAGGGCUUUAUUUCUAAAAGUAGAAGUGCCGGAGCCUUAUGGAAGACCAUC
Molecule: long non-coding RNA, 662 nt
Organism: Stegodyphus dumicola
Lineage: Eukaryota; Metazoa; Arthropoda; Arachnida; Araneae; Eresidae
Source: RefSeq, a predicted model, not a curated record